Molecule: long non-coding RNA, 1400 nt
Filed under: Homo sapiens (human)
Lineage: Eukaryota; Metazoa; Chordata; Mammalia; Primates; Hominidae
Description: HSALNT0175646
Source: RNAcentral
CACUGUUUCACAGAUGCUGUGAGGGUGACAAAGAUGCAGGGCACCCACUGGAAACACAGACGGCACUCUGCGAAAGAGGAAGGGGCGCCAGGAGCUUGGGUGAGCAAGGUUGGAGGUGAUUCUGCCCCUCUCCCCAGGCUUUCUGUAUUAGAAAACUGAAGCUUCAAGAACAGACUUGCCUAACAACAGGAAACUUGUAUGUCUCGAAGUGGCAAUUCACACAUAAGGCUCCAUGACUCCUGAACUCUCACAAAUAUUAGUUGGCUCUUUUCAUGGUUUUACUGAAGUUGCUAGAAGUUUACAGAAAAGGAAGUGCAGGAACAUUUCACAAAUCUACAAUCUGUGAGUAUCACAUCCUGUAUAGCUGUAAACACUGGAAUAAGGAAGGGCUGAUGACUUUCAGAAGAUGAAGGUAAGUAGAAACCGUUGAUGGGACUGAGAAACCAGAGUUAAAACCUCUUUGGAGCUUCUGAGGACUCAGCUGGAACCAACGGGCACAGUUGGCAACACCAUCAUGACAUCACAACCUGUUCCCAAUGAGACCAUCAUAGUGCUCCCAUCAAAUGUCAUCAACUUCUCCCAAGCAGAGAAACCCGAACCCACCAACCAGGGGCAGGAUAGCCUGAAGAAACAUCUACACGCAGAAAUCAAAGUUAUUGGGACUAUCCAGAUCUUGUGUGGCAUGAUGGUAUUGAGCUUGGGGAUCAUUUUGGCAUCUGCUUCCUUCUCUCCAAAUUUUACCCAAGUGACUUCUACACUGUUGAACUCUGCUUACCCAUUCAUAGGACCCUUUUUUGUUUAUCAUCUCUGGCUCUCUAUCAAUCGCCACAGAGAAAAGGUUAACCAAGCUUUUGGUGCAUAGCAGCCUGGUUGGAAGCAUUCUGAGUGCUCUGUCUGCCCUGGUGGGUUUCAUUAUCCUGUCUGUCAAACAGGCCACCUUAAAUCCUGCCUCACUGCAGUGUGAGUUGGACAAAAAUAAUAUACCAACAAGAAGUUAUGUUUCUUACUUUUAUCAUGAUUCACUUUAUACCACGGACUGCUAUACAGCCAAAGCCAGUCUGGCUGGAACUCUCUCUCUGAUGCUGAUUUGCACUCUGCUGGAAUUCUGCCUAGCUGUGCUCACUGCUGUGCUGCGGUGGAAACAGGCUUACUCUGACUUCCCUGGGAGUGUACUUUUCCUGCCUCACAGUUACAUUGGUAAUUCUGGCAUGUCCUCAAAAAUGACUCAUGACUGUGGAUAUGAAGAACUAUUGACUUCUUAAGAAAAAAGGGAGAAAUAUUAAUCAGAAAGUUGAUUCUUAUGAUAAUAUGGAAAAGUUAACCAUUAUAGAAAAGCAAAGCUUGAGUUUCCUAAAUGUAAGCUUUUAAAGUAAUGAACAUUAAAAAAAACCAUUAUUUCA